CUACGGGGGGCAGCAGUGGGGAAUAUUGCGCAAUGGGGGAAACCCUGACGCAGCAACGCCGUGUGAGGGAUGAAGGCUUUCGGGUCAUAAACCUCUGUCAGGCAGGACGAAACAUCUAAACAUGAAUAAUGUUUAGAUCUGACGGUACUGCCAGAGGAAGUCCCGGCUAACUCCGUGCCAGCAGCCGCGGUAAUACGGAGGGGACAAACGUUGUUCGGAAUUAUUGGGCGUAAAGAGCGCGUAGGUGGUCAGAAAAGUCAGACGUGAAAUCCCUCUGCUCAACAGAGGAAGGGCGUUUGGAACUCUCUGGCUUGAGUGUGGGAGAGGAGAGUGGAAUUCCCAGUGUAGCGGUGAAAUGCGUAGAUAUUGGGAAGAACACCAGUGGCGUAGGCGGCUCUCUGGCCCAUUACUGACACUGAGGCGCGAAAGCUAGGGGAGCAAACGGGAUUAGAUACCCUAGUAGUC
RNAcentral lists this ribosomal RNA (465 nucleotides) under uncultured bacterium. RNAcentral's name for it is "partial 16S ribosomal RNA". It matches the Rfam family "Bacterial small subunit ribosomal RNA", at positions 339 to 795 of the family's 1533-position model. The record is from RNAcentral.